This 1495-nucleotide ribosomal RNA is filed under the name uncultured Bacteroidota bacterium. RNAcentral describes it as "bacterial SSU rRNA". It matches the Rfam family "Bacterial small subunit ribosomal RNA". Lineage: Bacteria; Pseudomonadati; Bacteroidota. The record is from RNAcentral.
UUAGAGUUUGAUCAUGGCUCAGGAUGAACGCUAGCGGCAGGCUUAACACAUGCAAGUCGAGGGGCAGCGAGAAUAGCAAUAUUUGUCGGCGACCGGCGCACGGGUGAGUAACGCGUAUGCAACCUACCCUUUAUCGGGGGAUAGCCCGGAGAAAUUCGGAUUAAUACCCCAUAGUAUUAUAUUUUGGCAUCAAGAGAUAAUUAAAACUCCGGUGAUAGAGGAUGGGCAUGCGUGACAUUAGUUAGUUGGUGAGGUAACGGCUCACCAAGACCAUGAUGUCUACGGGGUCUAAAAGGAUGGUCCCGCACACUGGUACUGAGACACGGACCAGACUCCUACGGGAGGCAGCAGUGAGGAAUAUUGGUCAAUGGGCGCAAGCCUGAACCAGCCAUGCCGCGUGAAGGAUGACGGCCCUAUGGGUUGUAAACUUCUUUUGUACGAGAAGAACAUGAGAUACGUGUAUUUCACUGACUGUAUCGUAUGAAUAAGGAUCGGCUAACUCCGUGCCAGCAGCCGCGGUAAUACGGAGGGUGCAGGCGUUAUCCGGAUUUACUAGGUUUAAAGGGUCUGUAGGCGGUAUAAUAAGUCAGUGGUGAAAGCCCUGAGCUCAACUGAGGAAUUGCCAUUGAUACUGUUAUACUUGAGUUUGGUUGAUGUUGGCGGAAUGUAUCAUGUAGCGGUGAAAUGCAUAGAUAUGAUACAGAACACCGAUUGCGAAGGCAGCUGACAAAACCAAAACUGACGCUGAUAGACGAAAGCGUGGGGAGCGAACAGGAUUAGAUACCCUGGUAGUCCACGCCGUAAACGAUGAUCACUCGUUCUUAGCGAUACACCGUUAGGGACUGAGCGAAAGCAUUAAGUGAUCCACCUGGGGAGUACGUUCGCAAGAAUGAAACUCAAAGGAAUUGACGGGGGCCCGCACAAGCGGAGGAACAUGUGGUUUAAUUCGAUGAUACGCGAGGAACCUUACCUGGGCUUGAAUGCUAAGCGUCUUCGGACGUAGACCAUCGAAAGAUGGCUUAAAUUUGCAAGGUGCUGCAUGGUUGUCGUCAGCUCGUGCCGUGAGGUGUCGGGUUAAGUCCCAUAACGAGCGCAACCCUCAUCCUUAGUUGCCAACAGUUCGGCUGGGAACUCUAAGGAAACUGCCAUCGUAAGAUGUGAGGAAGGUGGGGAUGACGUCAAAUCAGCACGGCCCUUAUGUCCAGGGCUACACACGUGUUACAAUGGUCGGUACAAAAGGUUGCCACCUGGUGACAGGGAGCUAAUCCAAAAAACCGGCCCCAGUUCGGAUUGGAGUCUGCAAUUCGACUCCAUGAAGCCGGAUUCGCUAGUAACCGCGUAUCAGCAACGACGCGGUGAAUACGUUCCCGGGCCUUGUACACACCGCCCGUCAAGCCAUGGAAGCUGGGUGCACCUGAAGUCCGUGACCGCAAGGAGCGGCCGAAGGUGAAACUAGUGACUGGGGCUAAGUCGUAACAAGGUAGCCAAGGGCGAA